This 649-nucleotide ribosomal RNA is filed under the name uncultured bacterium. Its description in RNAcentral is "bacterial SSU rRNA". It matches the Rfam family "Bacterial small subunit ribosomal RNA", at positions 852 to 1504 of the family's 1533-position model. The record is from RNAcentral.
CUAACGCGAUAAGCAUCCCGCCUGGGGACUACGGCCGCAAGGCUAAAACUCAAAUGAAUUGACGGGGGCCCGCACAAGCGGUGGAGCGUGUGGUUUAAUUCGAUGCUAAGCGAAGAACCUUACCAGGGCUUGACAUGCUGGUAGUAGGAACCCGAAAGGGUGACGAUCUCGGGGUAACUCGGGAAGCCUUCACAGGUGCUGCAUGGUUGUCGUCAGCUCGUGCCGUGAGGUGUUGGGUUAAGUCCCGCAACGAGCGCAACCCUUGUCGCUAGUUAUAUUCUCUAGCGAGACAGCCUCUCACAAGGAGGAGGAAGGUGGGGAUGACGUCAAAUCAUCAUGGCCCUUAUGCCCUGGGCUACACACACGCUACAAUGGCCGGUACAAUGGGCUGCGAAAGCGCGAGCUGGAGCUAAUCCCACCAAAGCCGGCCUCAGUUGGGAUUGCAGGCUGCAACCCGCCUGCAUGAACGUGGAAUCGCUAGUAACCGCAGGUCAGCACACUGCGGUGAAUACGUUCCCGGGCCUUGUACACACCGCCCGUCACGUCAUGGAGGCCGAGAACGAUUGAAGUCGCUGAGCUAACCCUUCGGGGAGGCAGGCGCCGAGGUCGGGUUUGGUGACUGGGACGAAGUCGUAACAAGGUAACCGUA